RNAcentral lists this ribosomal RNA (468 nucleotides) under uncultured bacterium. Its description in RNAcentral is "partial 16S ribosomal RNA". It matches the Rfam family "Bacterial small subunit ribosomal RNA", at positions 28 to 507 of the family's 1533-position model. The record is from RNAcentral.
GACGAACGCUGGCGGCGUGCUUAACACAUGCAAGUCGAACGGAAAGGCCCUGCUUUUGUGGGGUGCUCGAGUGGCGAACGGGUGAGUAACACGUGAGUAACCUGCCCUUGACUUUGGGAUAACUUCAGGAAACUGGGGCUAAUACCGGAUAGGAGCUCCUGCUGCAUGGUGGGGGUUGGAAAGUUUCGGCGGUUGGGGAUGGACUCGCGGCUUAUCAGCUUGUUGGUGGGGUAGUGGCUUACCAAGGCUUUGACGGGUAGCCGGCCUGAGAGGGUGACCGGCCACAUUGGGACUGAGAUGCGGCCCAGACUCCUACGGGAGGCAGCAGUGGGGAAUAUUGAACAAUGGGCGGAAGCCUGAUGCAGCAACGCCGCGUGCGGGAUGACGGCCUUCGGGUUGUAAACCGCUUUCGCCUGUGACGAAGCGUGAGUGACGGUAAUGGGUAAAGAAGCACCGGCUAACUACGUG